Coregonus clupeaformis (lake whitefish) is the source of this 1747-nucleotide long non-coding RNA. RefSeq lists it as uncharacterized. The record is from RefSeq and is a predicted model, not a curated record. The transcript is spliced from 3 exons. NCBI's taxonomy places the organism in Eukaryota, Metazoa, Chordata, Actinopteri, Salmoniformes, Salmonidae.
AAGGUGAAGCAGUUUUUCCUGCAGCGGUCAUUCCCAUUGCCUGUAGAGGAUGUAAAGGAACAGGAGAAGGGCAGGUUCUGCUGCACUCUCAAACACAUCACCUGUGUCUUCACCUACAGUGGCCAGGGUUCCAGUGAGGCUGCAGCCCGUCAGUCAGCCUGCCAGAGGGCGCUGUCUCAACUGGCUCCUUUUAUUGGCAACUGUGGUCCUGUGGCCCCAACCGGCAGCACUGAGAAGGCGGUUCAAAGGCUCCAGAUUCUGUUGGAAGGGGCAGGCCUUACAUCUGCUAACUCCGCCCUUACAGGAACUCAGUACAGAAGCUCCAUCCAGCUGAGGUUCUCUGGACUCCAGCAGAGGUACCUCAGUGAGGAACGUUCUAGAUGAGUGGUUUGUGAAGAGAGGUCUGGAGAAACCUGGGUUUGAGGAAAACAGGUCUGGGACCAAAGUCACCUUCUCCACCCCUCUACUCUGCUCCUACACAGGCAGGCCUCUGAAAUUCCCAUACAAACACAAAUGCAAACGCACACACACACACACAGUCAGGUUAUUUUCUGAUUGGCUGUUCUCUCUGUCUCUCCGAAGAUUGGCAGGCCAGCAAGGAGAAAUCUCAGAAGAGAUUGGUCGAAGAAUUGCAGAGGCGGGUCAAAUACCUGUAUGAUGGAAGCACCAACUGAGAGCCCAAAGAUUGUUUACUUACACUUGGCUCCUGCAUGUAACGACAACAUGUCCUCCAUUUCCCAGCCUGGAUAUAUCUCCUCCCAAGUUUUCCUCUCUUUCUUCUCCUCUCUGGGUUUCAUCUGGCCUGUGGUGUUGGUGGUAGAUGUGUCUGUCUUUAUUAGUAUGGUUUUAGGACUAUAAUAUAUAUAUAUAUAUAUAUAUAAUAUAAUAACACUCUUGCAUGCACUGUUUUUACCGCAGGGUUUGGUCCUGAUAUUAAAUUAUCUUACUUUUAGCAGCUCAUUGCUGUUUAAUUUUACUCUAUGAAGUUUUUGCACAGUCUAACAUAAUGAAUGCACUUACAUUUUAGCCAUUUAGUCAUUGUACUGGUCCCCCGUGGGACCUCAAACUCACCCCAGGUAUCCUCUUUUUCAAACAUGUAAUAAUGACCAAAGUACUUAAGCUCUAAAUAAAAAGGCUUCUCUCUGAUCAUGAAAAUACCCUCCACUACCUUGUAUGAUGUUCAAUACUUGUCUAUCUUAUCUGUCUCUCGAAGUGUCUUACUGGUGUAACCAUGGGGAUCACUGGUGUAACCAUGUGGAUCACUGGUGUAACCAUGGGGUAAUGGGGAUCACUGGUGUAACCAUGGGGUAAUGGGGAUCACUCGUGUACCAUGGGGUAAUGGGGAUACCUGGUGUAACCAUGGGAUAAUGGGGAUCACUGGUGUAACCAUGGGGGUAAUGGGGAUCACUGGUGUAACCAUGGGGUAAUGGGGAUCAGGUGUAACCAUGGGGAAAUGUGGAUCACUGGUGUAACCAUGGGGGUAAUGGGGAUCACUGGUGUAACCAUGGGGGUAAUGGGGAUCACUGGUGUAACCAUGGGGUAAUGUGGAUCACUGGUGUAACCAUGGGGGUAAUGGGGAUCACUAGUAUAAACCAUGCAGUCACUGGUGGAACUAUGCAGUCACUGGGGUAACCAUACCGUCACUGGUGUAAAUCUAGGAUCACUGCUCUUAGUCUUUUGUAUGGUUGGCUAAGAGUGUGAGUAAUGUUGGGAGAAAAGUAUGGAAUCCUGGAGCGGGUUGGUUGGU